Molecule: ribosomal RNA, 492 nt
Filed under: uncultured bacterium
Lineage: Bacteria
Description: partial 16S ribosomal RNA
Rfam family: Bacterial small subunit ribosomal RNA
Source: RNAcentral
GACGAACGCUGGCGGCGUGCUCAACACAUGCAAGUCGAACGGAAAGGCCCCCACUUUUUUGGUGGGGGUGCUCGAGUGGCGAACGGGUGAGUAACACGUGGGUGAUCUGCCCUGUACUUCGGGAUAAGCUUGGGAAACUGGGUCUAAUACCGGAUAGGACCAUGGUUUAGUGUCUCAUGGUGGAAAAAUUAUUGUUUUGGUGCAGGAUGAGCUCGCGGCCUAUCAGCUUGUUGGUGGGGUAAUGGCCUACCAAGGCGUCGACGGGUAGCCGGCCUGAGAGGGUGGACGGCCACAUUGGGACUGAGAUACGGCCCAGACUCCUACGGGAGGCAGCAGUGGGGAAUAUUGCACAAUGGGCGCAAGCCUGAUGCAGCGACGCCGCGUGGGGGAUGACGGCCUUCGGGUUGUAAACUCCUUUCGUUAGGGACGAAGCCGCACCUUUUUUGGGUGUGGUGACGGUACCUUUGUUAAGAAGCACCGGCUAACUACGUG